GGGCACAGUCAAUAAAAUGCCAGCAAACAUCUUUCUAUCAUCCCGUUGGAUCUCCAGUGUUGACUCAACUCAUCCUCCUGGCUAGGCAGAUGUCCCCCUUCCUCCCUUCACAGCUCCAUGUGCAUCCCUCUGGAAGCUGAGCACUAGGUUGAAGAUGACCUUACUAAUUAAAGGAGGACCCUCCUUAAGCCAAGGGUAUAUGAGUAGCUGUGCCCCCCUCCUCGAACCUCUGAAGAAGCCUGGGGUUACUAAUCUCAAAGUCAGUUAUACAAACCCACAAGCCACACUGCUGGAGAAAAAUGUGGCUGUGU
RNAcentral lists this small nuclear RNA (311 nucleotides) under Echinops telfairi (small Madagascar hedgehog). RNAcentral's name for it is "7SK RNA (ENSETEG00000026336.1)". It matches the Rfam family "7SK RNA". From Rfam's summary of the family: 7SK was discovered as an abundant small nuclear RNA in the mid-70s but a possible function has only recently been suggested. Two independent studies have found that 7SK RNA binds the CDK9/cyclin T complex (known as elongation factor P-TEFb). Lineage: Eukaryota; Metazoa; Chordata; Mammalia; Afrosoricida; Tenrecidae. The record is from RNAcentral.